AUAGGGAGACCCGACCAGAGUCAAGGUGAAAAAACUAAUUAGCCUGACUCUCGGACAAUCCCGAGGUCGUUCGGGGUGAAAUGGAAAUCGUUGUUUCAAACUGAGUUCGGUUCGGAGUAAGGGCUAUUAGCUCAGGUGGUUAGAGCGCACCCCUGAUAAGGGUGAGGUCCCUGGUUCAAGUCCAGGAUGGCCCACCUGAACCCCAAAGCCAAAUUCCCCUCCUCAAACCCAACAGUUAGACCUGUGGGCGAGUGAGGCGAGUGCGGAUGGCAUAACUCAAACGGGGGUAUAGCUCAGUUGGUAGAGCGCCUGCUUUGCAAGCAGGAUGUCAGCGGUUCGAGUCCGCUUACCUCCACCAAACCGCCCAAGCCAAGAUUGAGAAAAAUUCAGCACCGGCUGUCAGCAGCAGACUGCUGGAGAAAAUCUCCAGUCAAAGAACCUUGAAAACUGCAUAGUCAUAAGUCAGGCAAGAAGGAGAUUAGUUUUACUAAUCGACUUCACAGACAAAAAAAGUCAAGCAAAGCCAAAAAGCAAAAGAAUCUUCUAGU
This 548-nucleotide transfer RNA is filed under the name Limnospira platensis M2. Its description in RNAcentral is "Arthrospira platensis M2 16S-23S ribosomal RNA intergenic spacer". The stretch from base 283 to 355 matches the Rfam family "tRNA". The record is from RNAcentral. Lineage: Bacteria; Bacillati; Cyanobacteriota; Cyanophyceae; Oscillatoriales; Sirenicapillariaceae.